This 118-nucleotide transfer RNA is filed under the name Helianthus annuus (common sunflower). RNAcentral describes it as "hypothetical non coding rna". The stretch from base 2 to 74 matches the Rfam family "tRNA". Rfam says of the family: Transfer RNA (tRNA) molecules are approximately 80 nucleotides in length. Their secondary structure includes four short double-helical elements and three loops (D, anti-codon, and T loops). Further hydrogen bonds mediate the characteristic L-shaped molecular structure. tRNAs have two regions of fundamental functional importance: the anti-codon, which is responsible for specific mRNA codon recognition, and the 3' end, to which the tRNAs corresponding amino acid is attached (by aminoacyl-tRNA synthetases). tRNAs cope with the degeneracy of the genetic code in two manners: having more than one tRNA (with a specific anti-codon) for a particular amino acid; and 'wobble' base-pairing, i.e. permitting non-standard base-pairing at the 3rd anti-codon position. Lineage: Eukaryota; Viridiplantae; Streptophyta; Magnoliopsida; Asterales; Asteraceae. The record is from RNAcentral.
GGGGUGUAUAACUCAGUUGGUAGAGCAUUGGGCUUUUAACCUAAUGGUCGCAGGUUCAAGUCCUGCUAUACCCAAACCUAACUUGCACUAUACUAUGAGUAAGGAUGCGUAGUAGCGC